Cynara cardunculus var. scolymus (artichoke) is the source of this 176-nucleotide long non-coding RNA. RefSeq lists it as uncharacterized. The record is from RefSeq and is a predicted model, not a curated record. NCBI's taxonomy places the organism in Eukaryota, Viridiplantae, Streptophyta, Magnoliopsida, Asterales, Asteraceae. The transcript has 3 exons.
UUGAGUUUUUUUUGAAGAAUUGAUGUUAUAAUUAGAACUAGGAACUCAAGAUAAGGUUAAAAAUUGAAGAUUGAUGAAAUUUCUUCAAGUUGGUGCUGUUAGAGGAGGCAGAUUCGUUUCUGUUCAGGAUCUAACUUAGGGGCAGGAUAAAGGGUCGAGAUGGCUUAGAUUCUAAA